AAGGAGUCUAACAUCUAUGCGAGUGUUCGGGUGUCAAACCCCUACGCGUAAUGAAAAUGAACGGAGGUGGGAGCUUCGGCGCACCAUCGACCGAUCCUGAUGUCCUCGGAUGGAUUUGAGUAAGAGCAUAGCUGUUGGGACCCGAAAGAUGGUGAACUAUGCCUGAAUAGGGUGAAGCCAGAGGAAACUCUGGUGGAGGCUCGCAGCGGUUCUGACGUGCAAAUCGAUCGUCAAAUUUGGGUAUAGGGGCGAAAGACUAAUCGAACCAUCUAGUAGCUGGUUCUCUC
Molecule: unclassified non-coding RNA, 287 nt
Filed under: uncultured fungus
Lineage: Eukaryota; Fungi
Description: partial contains 5.8S rRNA, ITS2 and 28S rRNA
Rfam family: Eukaryotic large subunit ribosomal RNA
Source: RNAcentral